AACGCACCUUGCGCUCCCUGGUAUUCCGGGGAGCAUGUCUGUUUGAGUGUCAUGAACUCUUCAACCCACCGGUUUCUUGUAAACUGGCUGGUGUUUGGUUUCUGAGCGUUGCUCGUCCUCUGUGACUGAGCUCGUUCGUAAUAUAUGAGCAUCUCUAAUUCGACUUCGGAUUGACUCAGUGUAAUAGACUAUUCGCUGAGGACACACCUAGUGUGGCCGAAUGAGAUAAUUGUAGAAGCUUCCAACCCUUCUAGUCAUUUUAAGAUUAGACCUCAGAUCAGAUAGGACUACCCGCUGAACUUAA
RNAcentral lists this unclassified non-coding RNA (304 nucleotides) under uncultured Microbotryomycetes. RNAcentral describes it as "sequence contains ITS2". The stretch from base 1 to 52 matches the Rfam family "5.8S ribosomal RNA", at positions 103 to 154 of the family's 154-position model. Lineage: Eukaryota; Fungi; Basidiomycota; Microbotryomycetes. The record is from RNAcentral.